Passer montanus (Eurasian tree sparrow) is the source of this 544-nucleotide long non-coding RNA. RefSeq lists it as uncharacterized. The record is from RefSeq and is a predicted model, not a curated record. The transcript has 3 exons. NCBI's taxonomy places the organism in Eukaryota, Metazoa, Chordata, Aves, Passeriformes, Passeridae.
GCUCUCUCAGAGAACACUUGUUUGAACAGAGUUACUUAUCAACACUGACAGGCCCCCUCUGAGAGAAGGGUGAGGAGCAGCUCCUUGUAGUUUGUAAAGAGCUGGCAGAGUAAUUAUUGAAGGAUUUGAGGUACUUCUGAAUCAACAACCUUUGGUACUUAGUUUGAAACGCAGCUGGCAAAGAGCCCAAAGAAUUCUGUUUUCAGUAGUGCUGCUGCAAGUCUGUUGAAUUACUUUAUGUUAUUGAAAGGAGAGCAGAAUGUGAGCAAAGAUUAUGGCCUAUUUCUGCUGAGUUUGCUGCUUUCAUCCUCAAAAGCAGUCACAGGAAUCAAUGGAAGUAUGGAAAUGACAUUUGAAAUGUGUAAACACGGCAGAAUGUGACUCCACUGAACUUGGAAGGACUCGAUAGUAUUUCUUACCCACCCAUCCUCAAAGAAAAUCUGAAUUUGCUUUCAAAUAGAGGAGGUAAAUAAGUAAAUUUUUCCCUGCAGCUGGCAGCAAAAUGGCAAUAUUAAUGUUGCUGUGUAUCGUUAUCUGCUGAAGG